GCCUCUUUAGCUCAGUCGGUAGAGCGCCGGACUGUUAAUCCGUAGGUCGUUGGUUCGAGCCCAACAAGAGGCGCCA
RNAcentral lists this transfer RNA (76 nucleotides) under Anaerofilum sp. An201. Its description in RNAcentral is "tRNA-Asn". It matches the Rfam family "tRNA". Rfam says of the family: Transfer RNA (tRNA) molecules are approximately 80 nucleotides in length. Their secondary structure includes four short double-helical elements and three loops (D, anti-codon, and T loops). Further hydrogen bonds mediate the characteristic L-shaped molecular structure. tRNAs have two regions of fundamental functional importance: the anti-codon, which is responsible for specific mRNA codon recognition, and the 3' end, to which the tRNAs corresponding amino acid is attached (by aminoacyl-tRNA synthetases). tRNAs cope with the degeneracy of the genetic code in two manners: having more than one tRNA (with a specific anti-codon) for a particular amino acid; and 'wobble' base-pairing, i.e. permitting non-standard base-pairing at the 3rd anti-codon position. The record is from RNAcentral. Lineage: Bacteria; Bacillati; Bacillota; Clostridia; Eubacteriales; Oscillospiraceae. RNAcentral also lists the same sequence under 2 other names.